UACAGAGGUGGCAAGCGUUGUUCGGAAUUACUGGGCGUAAAGGGCGCGUAGGCGGCCACUGCAAGUCAGUUGUGAAAUCUCCGGGCUUAACUCGGAAAGGUCAACUGAUACUGCAGGGCUAGAGUGCAGAAGGGGCAACUGGAAUUCUCGGUGUAGCGGUGAAAUGCGUAGAUAUCGAGAGGAACACCUGCGGCGAAGGCGGGUUGCUGGGCUGACACUGACGCUGAAGCGCGAAAGCCAGGGGAGCGAACGGG
RNAcentral lists this ribosomal RNA (254 nucleotides) under uncultured prokaryote. RNAcentral's name for it is "partial 16S ribosomal RNA". It matches the Rfam family "Bacterial small subunit ribosomal RNA", at positions 524 to 776 of the family's 1533-position model. The record is from RNAcentral.